GGCUAUGCCUCAAUUGAUAAAGUGAACUAAUUGCCUACUUCAAAAGCAGUUUUGCAUGAAAGUCAACAUCUAAUUGGAAUUUACAAUGCCCGAUAUUUCUACACAUCUGCCACAAAUUUUAUGGAAAACAAUAUUUAUAGAAACUGAACAUACCUUGGUUAAACGUAUAUGAAAUGGGUAACCAUCCUCGAAGAACAUCAACCAGCUGUCGGCAAUGUGCAGGUGGACUGAGGAAUUUUCCGGUGUGUCUUUUUAUGGACUGUACUCCGUCUUAGCACAAUUCCCAAGUUUUACCCGAGAGGCCACGCUUCAGUUGGACCGUCUUCCAUAUAUCUACUGACUUCAUAUAAACGAAAGUGUACUGAGGACUCACUGAUCUACACUACCAGCUCAUGCUCAACGUUACUGAACAACAAAGUAAUCCGACAAUCAGACUGGACCCGGUCAUGUUAGAUACCAGUGGAAGGAGAUGAACAUACAAUUGACUCCGCAUCGAUGCAUGACUUCGCCCGGAACGCGGCAAGAACCAACAAUGGAAGAAAAACUACAGACGUGUUUACUAACAAUAAAGUUAUUUUUGUUUUUAUGAAAUAGCGAUUGAAUAAAAAUAUUAGGUAUAUGAGUUUUAUUUAGAGAUGAAAUAAGUCAGAAAUACAGCACACCCACUCGUCUUCACAACAACAA
Long non-coding RNA from Leguminivora glycinivorella, 684 nucleotides. RefSeq lists it as uncharacterized. The transcript is spliced from 6 exons. Lineage: Eukaryota; Metazoa; Arthropoda; Insecta; Lepidoptera; Tortricidae. The record is from RefSeq and is a predicted model, not a curated record.